UGCGCGGUGCCCGCCGCGCCGGGGUGCCCCACUCCGGCUCUGCCCCCGCCGGCUGGCACCGCGCGCGGCUUGAGCCCCUGCCCCGGGGUCGGGCACCCGCCUGGCAAAGCCCCAAGGGCCUUAAAUCAAGCAAGACCCGGAGCAUCCGCGUAGGAACCGCGGGUUCAAGUGCUGUAUCUCCUCAGGGGCAGGACUCGGGCGUUUGCACAUUUACUUUGGUGGUCAGAUGGGACUGUGUUCUAUCUAAAAUGAAACUUGAAAAGCAAAAAAACCCCAAACCACUACUAUUAAAAUCAGCAUAA
Molecule: long non-coding RNA, 302 nt
Filed under: Apteryx owenii (little spotted kiwi)
Lineage: Eukaryota; Metazoa; Chordata; Aves; Apterygiformes; Apterygidae
Description: lncRNA (ENSAOWG00000015150.1)
Source: RNAcentral